Molecule: long non-coding RNA, 816 nt
Organism: Phymastichus coffea
Lineage: Eukaryota; Metazoa; Arthropoda; Insecta; Hymenoptera; Eulophidae
Exons: 4
Source: RefSeq, a predicted model, not a curated record
UGGCUCAUAAGAAUAAAGAUAUUGUAAUAAAAUUUCUAAAAGAUGAUAAUGAACUGAAGUAUCCAGCUAUUAAUUUUUUACGUAACCAAGGGCUUGCUCACUACCAGCAAUUGACAGGUAUUAUAAUUCCAGUUAUGAAAGUGAGAAAAGACGCAGUGCACAAAGUUGAAAAAGUACAGUGUAAUACUUGUUAUGGCUAUUUUUCAAAGAAAACCUUGUGGAGGCAUCAACAGUUAUGCAAAAAUUUUAUAUCCUCUAUUCGAUCAAAGUUCUGAAGCAGUACACUUCAAAAAACUGGAGCAUUCAUGUGACAAUUUAAGAACAAAUUCCAAUGAAAAUCUAUGUCUCUCCAAUGGACUUUUUACAAUAAGGGAUGACAUUCUUACAAUACCGAUGCUUUGAAAGUAAUUUUAUUAUCAUCGAACAAAACUAAAUUCAAUAAAAAGGAAUUUGUUUUUGAAGACUAUUACAAUUUCAAAAUUUUCAGAUGAUUCAUAUAAAGAAUUUUAUGGGUUUCCAAAUUAUUUAAAAUUAGACAAAAAAAUUGCUUAUGCAUAAGUUGGAGAUGCUUGAUUCAUCAAUUAUUCAGUACUACUCUACCAAGUGAAAAGCAGAAGGAUAUUCAUUCUAUUUAUACUGUGAAAAAUUUAUAACCCAUUUUGCUAGACACUUAAUGAUGGCUCAUAAUGAUAAAGAUAUUGUAAUAAAAUUUCUAAAAGAUGAUAAUGAACCGAAGUAUCCAGCUAUUAAUUUUUUACGUAACCAAGGGCUUGCUCACUCCAGCAAUUGACAGAGAUUAUAAUUCUUGUGCAAGCA